CCUUCCAAAGGCCCUACCUCCAGAUGCCGUCAAAUUGGUGGUUAGGAUUUCAACAAAUGAACUUGGUGGGAAAUACACAUUUGGACCACAGCAAUGUAUUACCGUCAUUCUUUUUAAUGUUAUCCAUUCUCUGUGUGUUGUAGAAUCUCAAAGUAAUCAUUUUCAUCUUAAUGAGGGUGAGAAUUUUUUUAUAUGCGAUUGGCAACUUUAAUACUCUCUUUGGCAAAGCACCUGUGAAGGUCUUUCCUGGUUUUCUAUGGGGUUGUCUGUUAUUUUCAUAUCUGUGGGAGUUCUUCGUAUCAUUGAGAUACAAUCUCUUUGUCAGUUAAAUAUCUUCUCCCACUCUAUGGCUUGGAUUUUUUGCUCAUUUAAGGCUUCUUAUAAAGGACAGAGUUCUUCAUUAAAAUGUCAUCCAAAAUUGCACUUUUUCAUUUAUGGUAGAGUUUUUUGUGUCUGCUUAAAGUGUCCUUCCCUACUCUGAGGUCAUGAAGGUAUUUUGCUGUGUUUUCUUACCAAAACAUUACUGUUUCACUUUUCACAUUUUGGUAAGCUGGUAUUGAUUUUUAUGUAUGGAGGCAAGUGGAGGUUAAAUCUUUCUUUCUCCCUCUUCUUUUCCUUCCUUCCUUCCUUCUCUUUCUUUCUCUCCUUUCUUCCCUCUUUCUCUUUUCUUUCACCUCAUAUAAAUACUUAAUUGUCCCAUCACAUGUAUUAGAAGUCCUGCCUUUCCCUGCACUCUGCGGGGCCACCUCUGUCACAACCCUGGAGGCCAUCCAUGCAGUGUGUUUCUGGAGUCUGUUCUGUUUCAGUGUUUUAUUUGUCUGCACUAUGGUCUGAACGUUUGUGUCCUCCCACAUUUCAUAUGCUGAAAUCUAAUUCCCAAUGUGAUAGAAUGAGGAGCUGGGGCCUUUGGGAGGGAGGAGUUCAUGGGGGCAGAUCCUCAGGAAUGAGAUUAGUGCCCUUGUAAAUGAGGCCCCAGAGAGCUCCCACAUCCCUUUUGCCAUGUGAGGUCACAGCAAAGAGAUGGCUUCCCUGAACCAGGAACCAGGCUUCACCAACACCAAAUCUGCUAGCACCUUGAUCUUCCACUUCCCAGUCCCCAGAACUGCGAUAAAUACAUUUCCGUGGUUAGAAGCCACCUGGUUUGUGGUGUUGUGUCAUAACAGCUAGGACAUGCUGAGACGGUCUUCCACCUCCACCACGGCAUCUCUGACCUUCAGCUCUGGGCAGUGCGACUGCCCAGCAGAGCAAGCUCCUGCCUGGAUCCUGCAAGGCUCUUCCAGGCCUUUGCAUUUUUGUAUAACUCACUUAAAAAAAUUUGGAGAACCACAGAAGUGAGAUGAUGCCCUUUUCAGAGCAACGUCAGGAACACAUGCUUCCCAGCGCCACACAGUUAAGGAGAUGUCUGACAGUCCUCUUUUCUGUACAGGUAAUAUUUUUUUUGCUUUUGUAAUUAGUAUUUAUUCUGAGAGGGAGAUACUUUGAUACUAUGUAAAUAUACUGUUACACAUCAUUCUUUAAUCCAUUAGUUUUAGCAUUUGUUGAUGAUUCUAAUCUGAGUUGAUUGUUAACAUGGUGGUUUUCAAAUGAUGAUUUUUCUAACCCCAUUGUUCCUACAUUUAUUCCUUGGUGUUAUGGGUUAAUUGUGUGUUCAUAACCUCUAGCACCCAAAUUCAUAACUCUUAGCACCUCAACAUGUGCCCUUAUUUGGAGUUUGGUCUUUACAGAGGUGAUCAAGAUAAAAUAAGGUUAUUAGGGUGGGCCCCAAUCCAACAAGACAGGGGUCCUUAUAAUAAGGGAAGAUUUAGGUGGAAAGACACACACAAGGAGGAUGAUAGGAAGGCCCAGGAGAAGGCAGCCAUCUACAAGCCAAGGAGAGAGGCUUGAACAGAUAAUCCCCCAGCCUCAGAAGGAGUCAACCCUACGGACACCUUGAUCUGGGACUUCCAGCCUCCAGAGCUGUGAGACAAUACGUUUUUGUUGUUGAAGCCACUGGGUUUGUGGUGUUUUUUACAGCAGCCCUAGGAAACAGUUCUCUAUGAUAAGGAAGAGUUCUUUGGCCCUCCCUUAUUGGUUUAGUUACUUUGAUCAGUGUGAACUUAGGGGACUUUGCUGCUUGCAUUGUCCUAGAUGAGGCAGGAGAGUCCCACACACUGGUGCCAUGUCCUCUGGACCUGCCUCAUCAUUGUUUUUGUCCAGGGUGUGACAGGCCCACUUUGUUCUCUCUCCAUGCCUGGCCUGAAGUCAGCCUCUUUCCCACAGAGUCCAGGUUCCUGAGAGUGAAGAAUGAUGUUCAAAAACCAAGAUCUGACAUUCAGAACAAGGCUGAAAAGAGAAAGAGAGAGAAGGCAUUCUUAUCUUCUCACAGUCUUCAAGGGAAAGCUCUCAGCAUUUCAUAAUUGAGUACGUUUGUGGUAGACUUUUUUUCUGUAAAUACUUAUUGUCAUAUUAUAAAAGUUUCUUUCCAUUUUAAGUUUACUAUGAGAUUUUCUAGAAAUCAUUAAUAAAUGUUGACUUUUAAUGAAGGCAUCUAUUUAUAUCUACAUCUAUUAAGCUAAUCAUAUGAUAUUUCUCCUUUAUUCUGUUAAUGUAUGCAAUUAUAU
Molecule: long non-coding RNA, 2600 nt
Filed under: Homo sapiens (human)
Lineage: Eukaryota; Metazoa; Chordata; Mammalia; Primates; Hominidae
Description: HSALNT0375241
Source: RNAcentral